Molecule: unclassified non-coding RNA, 140 nt
Filed under: soil metagenome
Description: partial internal transcribed spacer 1
Source: RNAcentral
CCUAGAGUUGUAGGCUUUGCCUGCUAUCUCUUACCCAUGUCUUUUGAGUACCUUACGUUUCCUCGGCGGGUUCGCCCACCGAUUGGACAAAUUUAAACCAUUUGCAGUUGCAAUCAGCGUCUGAAAAAACUUAAUAGUUA